UCAGCCUUAAAGUCCAGCAGGCAAAAUAUGAACCUCUUUCGCCUUGUUUCGUAGAAGAUGGUGUGCCAUCUUGUGGAAAUCUUAUUGUUACCCCAGAAAGGGAAGGAUAGACAGCACUGACUGAGUCACGGGCUUGAUUGCAUGCACUGAGAAAGGCAUCAACAGUAUGGGGGACACGGAAGGAGGUAGAGGGUGAAUGGUGUGGAAGAGACUGCAGCAGAAUUCCAUAUUACAGCUCGUCACCAGUGGGCGUAUUUGGUAAUGUUAUAAAGUUCUGAGAAGAUGCCCACUGAAGGCAACCAACACUGCCCCUUCCAGUCAGACCCCUACAAACCUCGGACAACCCCGGAAAGAGGCGUCUAUUCAUGCACUAAGCCGGAUGGAGCUCUUAACCAUUUUGACCCAAUCACGAUAGCCAAUAA
Long non-coding RNA from Erpetoichthys calabaricus (reedfish), 422 nucleotides. RefSeq lists it as uncharacterized. The transcript is spliced from 3 exons. Lineage: Eukaryota; Metazoa; Chordata; Cladistia; Polypteriformes; Polypteridae. The record is from RefSeq and is a predicted model, not a curated record.